Molecule: transfer RNA, 70 nt
Filed under: Bathyraja albomaculata (white-dotted skate)
Lineage: Eukaryota; Metazoa; Chordata; Chondrichthyes; Rajiformes; Arhynchobatidae
Also listed under: 2 other names
Description: tRNA-Pro
Rfam family: tRNA
About the family: Transfer RNA (tRNA) molecules are approximately 80 nucleotides in length. Their secondary structure includes four short double-helical elements and three loops (D, anti-codon, and T loops). Further hydrogen bonds mediate the characteristic L-shaped molecular structure. tRNAs have two regions of fundamental functional importance: the anti-codon, which is responsible for specific mRNA codon recognition, and the 3' end, to which the tRNAs corresponding amino acid is attached (by aminoacyl-tRNA synthetases). tRNAs cope with the degeneracy of the genetic code in two manners: having more than one tRNA (with a specific anti-codon) for a particular amino acid; and 'wobble' base-pairing, i.e. permitting non-standard base-pairing at the 3rd anti-codon position.
Source: RNAcentral
CAGGAAGUAGUUUAAUCAAAAUCUUAGCUUUGGGAGCCAAGGAUGUGAGUUUAACCCCUCUCUUUCCUGA